This is a non-coding RNA of Schistosoma haematobium, 45 nucleotides long. NCBI's taxonomy places the organism in Eukaryota, Metazoa, Platyhelminthes, Trematoda, Strigeidida, Schistosomatidae. The record is from Rfam.
AUCUAGCUGACGAGUCCAAAAUAGGACUAAACGUACGUCCUCCAU